CCUACGGGGGGCAGCAGUGAGGAAUAUUGGUCAAUGGGCGGAAGCCUGAACCAGCCAAGUCGCGUGAGGGAAUAAGGCCCUACGGGUCGUAAACCUCUUUUGCCGGGGAGCAAGGGCGGGGACGUGUCCCGGCCCGGAGAGUACCCGGAGAAAAAGCAUCGGCUAACUCCGUGCCAGCAGCCGCGGUAAUACGUAGGAGGCGAGCGUUGUCCGGAAUUACUGGGUGUAAAGGGAGCGUAGGCGGGAGAGCAAGUCGACGGUGAAAUCUAUGGGCUUAACCCAUAGCUGCGAUCGAAACUGUUCAU
RNAcentral lists this ribosomal RNA (305 nucleotides) under uncultured bacterium. RNAcentral's name for it is "bacterial SSU rRNA". It matches the Rfam family "Bacterial small subunit ribosomal RNA", at positions 338 to 640 of the family's 1533-position model. The record is from RNAcentral.